CCGAGUUUACAACUCCCAAAACCCCCUGUGAACAUACCUACGUUGCUUCGGCGGUCCGUCCCGGCGCCUCCCUCGCGGGGGGCCCGGAACACAGGCGCCCGCCGGAGGACCCCAAACUCUUGUUUCUCAAACCAGUAUCUUCUGAGUGAAUAAGCAAAUAAAUUA
This 165-nucleotide unclassified non-coding RNA is filed under the name uncultured Nectriaceae. RNAcentral describes it as "sequence contains ITS1". The record is from RNAcentral. Lineage: Eukaryota; Fungi; Ascomycota; Sordariomycetes; Hypocreales; Nectriaceae.